Molecule: ribosomal RNA, 484 nt
Filed under: uncultured bacterium
Lineage: Bacteria
Description: partial 16S ribosomal RNA
Rfam family: Bacterial small subunit ribosomal RNA
Source: RNAcentral
AUUGAACGCUGGCGGCAGGCCUAACACAUGCAAGUCGAGCGGAUGAAGGGAGCUGGCUCCUGGAUUCAGCGGCGGACGGGUGAGUAAUGCCUAGGAAUCUGCCUGGUAGUGGGGGAUAACGUCCGGAAACGGGCGCUAAUACCGCAUACGUCCUGAGGGAGAAAGUGGGGGAUCUUCGGACCUCACGCUAUCAGAUGAGCCUAGGUCGGAUUAGCUAGUUGGUGGGGUAAAGGCCUACCAAGGCGACGAUCCGUAACUGGUCUGAGAGGAUGAUCAGUCACACUGGAACUGAGACACGGUCCAGCCUCCUACGGGAGGCAGCAGUGGGGAAUAUUGGACAAUGGGCGAAAGCCUGAUCCAGCCAUGCCGCGUGUGUGAAGAAGGUCUUCGGAUUGUAAAGCACUUUAAGUUGGGAGGAAGGGCAGUAAGUUAAUACCUUGCUGUUUUGACGUUACCAACAGAAUAAGCACCGGCUAACUUCGUG